CCAAUCCUGACAGGUGGUCC
This 20-nucleotide non-coding RNA is filed under the name Rattus norvegicus (Norway rat). The record is from RNAcentral. Lineage: Eukaryota; Metazoa; Chordata; Mammalia; Rodentia; Muridae.